GCCCCCGUAGCUCAGUCGGUCAGAGCGUGGUACUUAUAAUGCCAAGGUCGCGGGUUCGAGCCCCGCUGGAGGCA
This 74-nucleotide transfer RNA is filed under the name Encephalitozoon cuniculi. Its description in RNAcentral is "tRNA-Ile". It matches the Rfam family "tRNA". From Rfam's summary of the family: Transfer RNA (tRNA) molecules are approximately 80 nucleotides in length. Their secondary structure includes four short double-helical elements and three loops (D, anti-codon, and T loops). The record is from RNAcentral. Lineage: Eukaryota; Fungi; Microsporidia; Unikaryonidae. RNAcentral also lists the same sequence under 2 other names.